GAAUAAAGGAGUCAGUCUCCCCACCACCACCCUUGGGGCAAAAGGGACCUGGAUAGGAGGGUUGAUUCUUUGUUAUUCCGGCCCUACUCUUACCCCUCCCAGCUUUUGAGUGUCCUGGAGAAAUGAGAAUCUGAGUCGAUGGUAGUCACCAAUCUGCACUCUGUUCCCAGGACGUCGUUGGAGAACUGUGGGCUCACCUCUGAGGUUGAGAGGGGGUGCCCAUACCUAGCUCCUUCCCCAUUUUUAAUGCCCGUCCCUCACCCCUAUUGGUUCAGGGACAGCGGCUCAACCUGGGAGAAGGACAGAGUUAGGAGGGCGAAUGGAAGCGUGGUCAGGGAGGGCCUGGUUGCUCCCGGAGAGCCCCUGUUUGAGCCUGGCCCCCGCCCCAGGCACCGGCUCCCCUCCCUCCGCCUGAUUCAUCUUUUGUUUCAUUGCCUUCCCUGGCACCGGGCAUCGCUUCCUUCCUUCCUUCCUCCUCCUCCUUUGGGCCCUUAGCAUUAACCCCUUCGUGCUCUGGGUGCCCCCCAGAGAGGUGCCCAAGAGGAGCUGUGCGGGAUCAAGGCUGCUGGAAAAAGGAUUGGGGUGGCGGGGGUUGCGCGAAGUACAAUGGCCAUUAUCCGGGAUGACUUAACCGAGCGAGAAUCCUGAGCCCAGGCCGGGAACGCGCUGGGAGAAGCGGACUCAGCAGCUCCGGCCACAAAGGCGCUUUUCAGCCGCCCCGGCUCAGGGAGAGGAAAGGGCAGAAAGCCGCGCCCCCAAUCCCUGCUCCGUCCGGAUGCAGCCCAGAAGGGCGUGGGAGUAGCACCUGAGAAUAACGGUCUCCUUGUGCGGAUCUGGGGAGCCCCCUGCAGGGUGGCAACCAGAGGAAAGGGCCACAAUGUUCCACGGCCAAGGAGGAAAGAAGGAAUGCCCCUUUUCCCAUCUCUAGGUAGGAGGAAGGCUUCAGGGCAGAAGCAAAAGGAAUUAUUUCUUCCCUGGACAGGUUUUCCUAACAAAGUAACCUGGAAAACUAUGGCAAUUAAUCAGAGGAAAUCCGUACCCCUCCCUCUCCCCCCACCUCCCCACUCCAUACACAAUUAGGUGGUGUAAUGGAAAGUAUAUAGGGCUUAGAAUCAGGAGUCCUGAAUUCUAGUCCCAGCCAUGCCACUUUAAAUUGUGAGAGUUUAAAUUGCUUUUCCUCCUGGGGGAAGUCCAGCUCUCAGAUGUAAAAUGAGGGUGGCAGUGGGGGUGGGGAGGGUUGGAGGAAUGUCAUCUCUCAAGUUUUCUUUCAGUUCUAACAUUCAAGAUCACUGGCCAGGCUGGAUGAAGUGGCUCACACCUGUAAUCCAGCACUUUGGGAGGCCGAGGUGGGAGGAUCCCUUGAGCUCAGGAGUUCAAGACUAGCCUAGGCAACAUGGCAAGACCCCGUCUCUACAAAAAAUAAAAAAUAAAUCACUCGCCAGAGGUGGUCCUUCUCUUCCACCUCACUCUAGGUGGUUCCAAUGCUCAAAAAUGGUAGUUGAAUUUAUCCUAAUUAUGUAAUUCCAAGGAAAGCCCCUGAGAUAGGCAGAGCUUGGAAGACUUAGGAGCCCUCUGAUUCUCAGGUGGGUCCAUCUGUUAUUCUCACUGAGGAUUACUUUUUAACCCCAAGAUUAUCGUUUAGACCCUAGGAUAGCCCUAGAAUAGACCCUAGAAUAGAUGUGUCCUGGUUCUAGGACACGUUUCCCAUGCCAAAAGCAAUGUCUGCCCAGCCCCUCCUCAGGUAGAUGGUCUGGUGACCUGACCCUUGGCCACCCCUGUCCCAGCCCUUUUCAGUCUCUUCUUUUCGGCCCACAGAGCUUUUCUACAAUCAGGUCAGGAGCCAGGCUUCUGUCUGCUACCUAGCCAGCUCCUGGCCCCCAGCUCACCCCAGCCCUUCCUGCCUGGCUGGGUGGCUGACCCCCGGUCCACGCCUCAGCCAUUUCCCGUCUCGCCUGCCGCCAUCCUCCUUUCCCCGCCCUCGCUGCCUCUACCAGCUUCACUCUCACUAGUCAGUCCCUCCUCCCCUCCCCAUCCCAGACUAUUCUAGUCGGGAGCCGUCCUAAUUACUCUGUCCAGACUGCAAGGAUUUUUCCCCCCCCUGGGGCUGGUGACAAGGGAAAUCUCUAAGGCUAAACUCUCUGUAGGUGAAGCUGGACUCACCCACCUGGGCUGCCAUAGGAAAACGGAGGAGCUGGCAGUGCCCCGGCGCAGGCAUCUAAUAGCUGCUGUUUUUCAAAUGAAUGACUUCUCAGUUGGAAGCUGCUGAAGGGCAGUGGACACUCAAAAGUCUUUGUAAGAGGUACAGAAACAAGGCCAUGAAUAUAAGGAGGAGUCAGGGGACAAGCCAGCUUUAAGCAAGACUGAGGAUGGAGGAGUUUCC
This 2380-nucleotide long non-coding RNA is filed under the name Homo sapiens (human). RNAcentral describes it as "HSALNT0368016". Lineage: Eukaryota; Metazoa; Chordata; Mammalia; Primates; Hominidae. The record is from RNAcentral.